Molecule: ribosomal RNA, 383 nt
Filed under: Microsporidium sp.
Lineage: Eukaryota; Fungi; Microsporidia
Description: SSU rRNA
Source: RNAcentral
ACCAGGUUGAUUCUGCCUGACGCAGAUGCUAGUUUCUAAGAUUAAGCCAUGCAUGUUUCCGUAAUUAGGGANGAAUAGCUCAGUAAAAMUGCGAUAAUUUAGUCUGAUUGAGUAGAUAACUACGUGAAAAUGUAGCUAAGGGUGAUUAGAAUAAGACGCAGAACUAUCAGUUAGUUGGUAGUGUAAUGGACUACCAAGACGAUGACGGUUAACGGGAAAUUAGGGUUUUAUACCGGAGAGGGAGCCUGAGAGAUUGCUCCCACGUCCAAGGACGGCAGCAGGCGCGAAAAUUGCCCACUCUUUGUAGGAGGCAGUUAUGAAACGUAAAGAAGAAUAUNUNNUAAAGANGGAUAAGAGAAUUGGAGGGCAAGUUUGGUGCCAGC